Molecule: non-coding RNA, 71 nt
Organism: Pangasius djambal
Lineage: Eukaryota; Metazoa; Chordata; Actinopteri; Siluriformes; Pangasiidae
Source: the annotation of a GenBank genome assembly
GGCUGUGGCCCAGUGGUUAAGGCUUUAGGCUUCUGACCGGAAGGCCGUGAGUUCAAAUAUCAGCGCUGCCA